RNAcentral lists this long non-coding RNA (242 nucleotides) under Nicotiana benthamiana. RNAcentral describes it as "long non-coding RNA (NBEN_LNC005248)". Lineage: Eukaryota; Viridiplantae; Streptophyta; Magnoliopsida; Solanales; Solanaceae. The record is from RNAcentral.
ACCAUAUUGGAGGCAUGAAACGUUGUAAAUGUUUUUUCAAGCAUAUCAUAAUCAGUGGUAGUAUCUCCACAGAGUUUCAAAUUAGAAGUAAUUCUGAACAUCGCAGAAUUAUAUUCAGAAACAGACUUAAAGUCUUGGAGCCUCAGAUGAGCCCAAUCAUAUCGUGCUUGUGGCAGAGUGACCAACUUUAAGUUGUUAUAUCUUUCUUUUAGGUCAUUCCACAAAAUAAGUGGAUCUUUGAC